RNAcentral lists this ribosomal RNA (435 nucleotides) under uncultured bacterium. Its description in RNAcentral is "bacterial SSU rRNA". It matches the Rfam family "Bacterial small subunit ribosomal RNA", at positions 29 to 507 of the family's 1533-position model. The record is from RNAcentral.
AGCGAACGCUGGCGGCAGGCUUAACACAUGCAAGUCGAACGGGCGUAGCAAUACGUCAGUGGCAGACGGGUGAGUAACGCGUGGGAACGUACCUUUUGGUUCGGAACAACACAGGGAAACUUGUGCUAAUACCGGAUAAGCCCUUACGGGGAAAGAUUUAUCGCCGAAAGAUCGGCCCGCGUCUGAUUAGCUUGUUGGUGAGGUAAUGGCUCACCAAGGCGACGAUCAGUAGCUGGUCUGAGAGGAUGAUCAGCCACACUGGGACUGAGACACGGCCCAGACUCCUACGGGAGGCAGCAGUGGGGAAUAUUGGACAAUGGGCGCAAGCCUGAUCCAGCCAUGCCGCGUGAGUGAUGAAGGCCCUAGGGUUGUAAAGCUCUUUUGUGCGGGAAGAUAAUGACGGUACCGCAAGAAUAAGCCCCGGCUAACUUCGUG